CUUCGUAGGUGAACUGAUAGGGGGAUCAUCAGCGAGUAUUCAACUCCCAAACCCCUGUGAACAUACCAAUUGUUGCCUCGGCGGAUCAGCCCGCUCCCGGUAAAACGGGACGGCCCGCCAGAGGACCCCUAAACUCUGUUUCUAUAUGUAACUUCUGAGUAAAACCAUAAAUAAAUCAAAACUUUCAACAACGGAUCUCUUGGUUCUGGCAUCGAUGAAGAACGCAGCAAAAUGCGAUAAGUAAUGUGAAUUGCAGAAUUCAGUGAAUCAUCGAAUCUUUGAACGCACAUUGCGCCCGCCAGUAUUCUGGCGGGCAUGCCUGUUCGAGCGUCAUUUCAACCCUCAAGCACAGCUUGGUGUUGGGACUCGCGUUAAUUCGCGUUCCUCAAAUUGAUUGGCGGUCACGUCGAGCUUCCAUAGCGUAGUAGUAAAACCCUCGUUACUGGUAAUCGUCGCGGCCACGCCGUUAAACCCCAACUUCUGAAUGUUGACCUCGGAUCAGGUAGGAAUACCCGCUGAACUUAAGCAUAUCAAUAAGCGGAGGAA
RNAcentral lists this ribosomal RNA (546 nucleotides) under Fusarium sp. T5. RNAcentral describes it as "eukaryotic LSU rRNA". The stretch from base 180 to 333 matches the Rfam family "5.8S ribosomal RNA". Lineage: Eukaryota; Fungi; Ascomycota; Sordariomycetes; Hypocreales; Nectriaceae. The record is from RNAcentral.